UUGCGAAACGUGACAUGACAUUUUGUCAUGUCGCGUCUGCCGGAUGUGGCGACCCGGUACUGAUGAGCAGCCACAG
This 76-nucleotide non-coding RNA is filed under the name Geoalkalibacter subterraneus. Lineage: Bacteria; Pseudomonadati; Thermodesulfobacteriota; Desulfuromonadia; Desulfuromonadales; Geoalkalibacteraceae. The record is from RNAcentral.